UAACUGUCAUUUUUCUUUUUUGAACAAAAGUUGUAUUUCGUCGUUCAGGCUAGAGAAAUUUCAUUUGCCUUCGAGUCGGGCUACAAGCUAGUCGCAUUUUCUCAAGUUACAAAAAUGUAGCAAAAUUUUUACACUUAAAAAAACUACAUUGCCGACGAAAUGUCGGCACAUGGCUUGGUUCCUCAACCAAAUCCGAGGAAUCCAAACCAGGAAACGACUUUGAUAAUGAUUCGACAAUAAUACUCACAACUCAUGAACACGAUGCUCCAUAACUGCCGGAUGAGCACCAGACGGCGGCCCAAUUCCGGAGGAUCAUCCAGCUGCAAAUGUCACGACACUAGACUGUAAAAGUACAGUCCCCCCAAAGCGCAUACACAUUGUUACAGCAACAGUGCACAAGGCUUGAUUCCUCGCCCGAAUCCGAGGAAUCUAAGCCAGGAAAGGACAUUGAUCAUGAUUCGCCACGUGUUGGACUAGAUUUCUUACUACUCAUGAACACGAUGAUUUAUAACUGCCGGAUAAGAAACAUUCGGCGACCCAAUUCCGAUGCCACGACACUGGACUUAUUAAUGGUAACACAAGCGGAUUAAAUCGUUAAACACAGCCACCUAACGUUAUCUAUUGCGAUUUACAAUUAGUUUUGCCAGUUUACGCACUCUCCUUUGAAUAUGAUAACACAGAAAUUAACACUACUUACAGUGAAAAUACUAAAAGAAAGCAGAAUUUGAAAGUGGACUAGAAGUAACACUUAUUACACAGAAACGCACACUGAAGACACCGAAUGUUGUAACAAAUACACUGAAAACACACAAAACAAAAUAUUGUAUGAGCCAUCGCAAAGAAUAAAAACAUCGAUCAGUUGAACU
Non-coding RNA from Drosophila melanogaster (fruit fly), 866 nucleotides. The record is from Ensembl. NCBI's taxonomy places the organism in Eukaryota, Metazoa, Arthropoda, Insecta, Diptera, Drosophilidae.